RNAcentral lists this ribosomal RNA (497 nucleotides) under uncultured bacterium. Its description in RNAcentral is "partial 16S ribosomal RNA". It matches the Rfam family "Bacterial small subunit ribosomal RNA", at positions 28 to 507 of the family's 1533-position model. The record is from RNAcentral.
GAUGAACGCUGGCGGCGUGCCUAAUACAUGCAAGUCGAGCGAACAGACGAGGAGCUUGCUCCUCUGACGUUAGCGGCGGACGGGUGAGUAACACGUGGAUAACCUACCUAUAAGACUGGGAUAACUUCGGGAAACCGGAGCUAAUACCGGAUAAUAUAUUGAACCGCAUGGUUCAAUAGUGAAAGACGGUUUUGCUGUCACUUAUAGAUGGAUCCGCGCCGCAUUAGCUAGUUGGUAAGGUAACGGCUUACCAAGGCAACGAUGCGUAGCCGACCUGAGAGGGUGAUCGGCCACACUGGAACUGAGACGCGGACCAGACGACUACGGGAGGCAGCAGUAGGGAAUCUUCCGCAAUGGGCGAGAGCCUGACGGAGCAGCGCCGCGUGAGUGAUGAAGGUCUUCGGAGCGUAAAACUCUGUUAUUAGGGAAGAACAAAUGUGUAAGUAACUAUGCACGUCUUGACGGUACCUAAUCAGAAAGCCACGGCUAACUACGUG